RNAcentral lists this transfer RNA (71 nucleotides) under Marmota monax (woodchuck). RNAcentral's name for it is "tRNA.Gly". It matches the Rfam family "tRNA". Rfam says of the family: Transfer RNA (tRNA) molecules are approximately 80 nucleotides in length. Their secondary structure includes four short double-helical elements and three loops (D, anti-codon, and T loops). Lineage: Eukaryota; Metazoa; Chordata; Mammalia; Rodentia; Sciuridae. The record is from RNAcentral.
GGGGUUGUGGCUCAGUGGUAGAGCGCUCGCCCCCCACAUGUGAGAUCCUGGGUUCGAUCCUCAGCACCACA